Molecule: ribosomal RNA, 425 nt
Filed under: uncultured bacterium
Lineage: Bacteria
Description: bacterial SSU rRNA
Rfam family: Bacterial small subunit ribosomal RNA
Source: RNAcentral
UAGGGAAUUUUCCACAAUGGACGAAAGUCUGAUGGAGCAACGCCGCGUGAACGAUGAAGGUCUUCGGAUUGUAAAGUUCUGUUGUCAGGGACGAACAAGUACCGUUCGAACAGGGCGGUACCUUGACGGUACCUGACGAGAAAGCCACGGCUAACUACGUGCCAGCAGCCGCGGUAAUACGUAGGUGGCAAGCGUUGUCCGGAUUUAUUGGGCGUAAAGCGCGCGCAGGCGGCUAUGUAAGUCUGGUGUUAAAGCCCGGGGCUCAACCCCGGUUCGCAUCGGAAACUGUGUAGCUUGAGUGCAGAAGAGGAAAGCGGUAUUCCACGUGUAGCGGUGAAAUGCGUAGAGAUGUGGAGGAACACCAGUGGCGAAGGCGGCUUUCUGGUCUGUAACUGACGCUGAGGCGCGAAAGCGUGGGGAGCAAA